Non-coding RNA from Python bivittatus (Burmese python), 4817 nucleotides. The record is from RefSeq and is a predicted model, not a curated record. NCBI's taxonomy places the organism in Eukaryota, Metazoa, Chordata, Lepidosauria, Squamata, Pythonidae.
GUAAUGGGUGAAAUAAAGAUUGCUUUAAAGAAGGAAAUGAAGACUGAUGGAGAACAGCUAAUAGUGGAAAUUCUGCAAUGCAGGAAUAUAACUUACAAGUUUAAAUCUCCAGAUCACUUACCAGAUCUAUAUGUAAAGCUAUAUGUUGUCAACCUUGGAACUCAAAAGAGGGUGAUGAAGAAGAAAACAAGAGUGUGCAGGCAUGACCGAGAACCUUCAUUCAAUGAAACUUUUCGAUUCAGCUUGAGUCCCACUGGUCAUUCUCUCCAGAUUCUUCUUGUUUCCAAUGGAGGAAAGUUUAUGAAGAAGACCUUGAUUGGUGAAGCAUAUAUUUGGCUUGAUAAAGUGGACCUCAGGAAAAGAAUUGUAAACUGGCACAAACUUUUGGUUAGUUCCACACAAGCUCAUUGAGCAAAGAUGUCCUUUUUUGGUGUCAGAGAGAUCAAGCUGGAAGAGUCUACUUGUGUGAUCCCAAGACUCCACUUGACUCCACUUUGAUGUUAGAUUUAGGUAGGCUUUCAGGAUAUGAAAUAAGUAACACAUAUUCUGGGCUACUUAGCGCAUUUUUAUGAGGGCUAGUCCAUUUGUUUUGCUGUGUAAAAACAAAACAGCAAAAGAAAAGGCAUCACCCUUGGCUCAGAUGAUAAAAUAAGUCCACCUGAAUAAGGACUGUGAGCUAAGGGUUCAGUGAUGUUAGAAUCUUUGUAGCCAUGAAGUAAACUAAUGGUACCCCUGCACUUGAAGGCAAGUAGGAAUGCAGAAACAUUGGUUGUAGUUAGAGGCAGAAUCUCAGAAAAUGUAAUCUAGGGUUUUUUGUGCAAUCAGAAGGGAGACCAUUUUAUGCAAAAGCACCCAAGGACUGCCUUUCCAUUCUCACUGAUCAGAAGAUUCAACUAUGUUCUUCUGUACUUCAGAGUGUGCACAGUGAGAUGGUACGGCAAAUGGCAGUAUCUUUUAUUUUUAUCUUACAUAGUAGCAAUGUUUAUAUUUAUUUUCUUGGAGUAUCAGUUUAGAGUAAUAAUCUCAGUGUUUCUCCAUGUGAAUAAUACAAAAUCACCAUCUUAGAACAUGAAGUCCAAAGGAAAAUAGAAAUGGGGAAAGACCCAGGAUGUGUUGUACAGUUACCACUAUAGCAUGAAAUAAAACAUAGCCCUGAGUGUGUGGAAGAAGUCCCAGUCCACCCUGCCUUUUCUGAGUCUGUUGUUUACAAAUAAUGGGGUUGAUUCAAAGGGCUUCUAAACAGAGAUGGAUACUAUUGUGUCACUACCUAUCUUGCUGUUGUGGACUAUGUCUUGCUGUUGUGGACUACAAAGAAUUGAUGUUUCAAAAUGUCUAUAGUUUGAAGCUAUCCAUAUUUUAAAUUCGCUAACUAUGCCAGUGGCUCCCUGCUCAUUCUGGAGUUAUAAAUCAUUUUUUAAAAAAUGACUUCUAGAAUGUGAUACCACCCUCCACAGUAGGUGUAAUGGCAUACAACAUCACAAAUGCACACAUCCAUUCACAAGAGGCAUUCUGCUAAAUAAAAUGCAAGUGAGAAGGUAUUAUAGAUCUUUGUAUGACAAGACCAUAUCUUGGUUAUAAAAUGAGAGAAAUGUUUCUAGAGAUAUCUAAGCCUGCAGCAAUCAUUACCAUCCAUUAGGUAUUUUCUAGAAGCAACAAAAAUGAGGCUACCUAUGGCUUCUGUGAACAAAACUGAAUAUACCUAGCCGUUAACUAUGCUGACUGGCUUUCUAUUCUUAUUAUAGAAACUGUACAGUAUCAAAAGUACAUAUGCACAGCAAAAUAACAAUUUGACUUCAAAUGGCAGUGCUUAUCUUACUACCUUUACAGUUAAAGAAAUAUCUAAAAAUUAUACAUUCUGAACAACCUGUUUUAGUUAAUUUAAUCAGUGAACAUUUUUUCAAGAACUCCAGAAGCUAGAAAAUAUAUGCUGGAAAGAAAGUAUUGAAAUUAUAUUUUAUGUUUUAAGAAAGAAACACAUCAUGAGCCAAUAAAUAACCAAGAAAGGGUUCACAGUCCCAAUUUUGUUUUCUACCACUACUUAUAUCUCAUCCUGUAUCUGUAAUGAGCAGGACGAGAUAGGGUAUAAGAAUAUAUAUUAACAACCAAUGUUCUGACUUAACUUUCAUUUGUCUCCUUAUAAUUAUAUCAAUUUUAAUUCAAUCCUUGAGGGCAGUUGGCAUUGCCAUUCCCCCAGCUCAUAUUGAAAUAAUUUACUACUUCAGCCCAUAGGUACCACAAGAGAAGCAGAAAAAAUAUCUUGCACAGACUGGUACUGUUUCUCUGAAACUGUUUCUGAAACAGCCAGUUCCCUAAUUCAGUGUAAAGGGUAUGGGUGUAUGUGUGAGUUUUAAAUUAUGAAAUGUGCAAUUUGUGCAAAUGAAUGACAAUCUUGUUCUUGCUAAGGUUUAUAACAAAGACAAUGAAUCUUCCAGUGGUUGCCAUGGAGAUUUCAAGAACUAGGAAGCAACAAUUGGAAGCCUAUAAUUAUCACUCUUAACUGAGAAAGUUAGGCUACUGUUGCAACAUGCUAUUACAGGGUAUGGAAUUCAAGAGCAAGAGACUGUUCAUGUCAACACCAAUAUUCAUUUAUUUGUUCUUAUAUUCUUUUCUUAAUUCUGCUACCCUGGGUUAAAUGUCCCUUGCUCUCCACAUUUUUCAGCCACUAGCAUGGGGCCAAGCUCCACUAUUCCAACCCUUUGGAAUUACGCAUGCCGUAACACCCAUGUACCUGAUGAAUGUACCUGAUUUGUGACAAUUUGAGGUUGUUAGGAAAGAUGGUUUCUGUUAAGGCCAGAAUUUCUUUUCUCUUCAUGUUCUUCAUAUAUUAUUCAAUGCUACUGAAAUUGUGAUCCAUCAGCUAAUCGUUUUUGUACCAGUACUGGGACUAGCAAUUGCCUCUGAAGUGUGCCAAGUCUCUUUUGAUCAAAUAUCUGGAUUGUACUAGAAUCAUUCUAUGCAAUGGUGAAACCCAUUUAAUGCAGUUUCCUUUUUAUUAAUGAAGACAACAAAAUCCUUCUUACGGCAAUUAUUUUUUUAUCAGAGAAAAAUCACAGAACCUUAGUAUUUAAAAAAAUGUAUAGAUAUUUCAGUGUAUAUGUUUUCCUCUUGAUGGGGUGGGGGGAAAUCCUGUUAUAUUUGUUUCUUCCUCAGAUAAAAGCAAGACUUCUUAUCUUAGAGUGAACUUUCUCCUGAUUUGGAUUUCUUGAAAAAUAUUGUACUGUUGAUGGCACAAUGAGCUUUAUUGUACAUCACAUGAGUCUGCUGAGCUGAAGAUAAAAGUAGUGUUGUGCAAAAAGCCUUGUUCAGGGCAAAACGUUUGAAAUAUGAGCUAAAGCACAGAAUGUGUAUGUGUAUUGGCAAAGGAGGGAUCAUUUCUGUGAAAGAAUCAUAUAUCUCCAUCUGCUGAGCAACAGGGCUUGAGUUCAGUUGUGAUCCAAACAAGGUCUUUGAGUUCCUGUGAUGAAUACUAAAUUAUUUUCUUGUUAUCACAACCCUUUAAAGGGAUAGUAUCCAGGAGCAAUACAAAUGCUAUUUAUUUUGUUACACUUUAUGCCCUAUCUGCUCCCCUCUAAAAGAACAUAUAUCACUAUUCUUCAAUUCUACCAGAACUAAUAGGAGUACCUCAUUGUGAGUGCACUGGAGACACCAGUAAAAUUUAAAUCUGGAUCCUUAUUGUUACUUGAAUUGUGUUUUUCUAAAUGCCUAAAUCAUUUGUUUGGGGCAGCAACAUGGGGAGUGUGAAUCUGUAGCUGGUAACCAGCUGAUACGGCUUCUUUUUCUUAGGAUGAAAAAGUCAACAGUAAACAUCUCUUAUAUUGUAAGUAAGCUAGCGUGCUUGAUAUAGAAUUAUUUAGCACUUAAUUUCUAAAGAUUUCAUACAGAUUUUAAUGGUAUAUUUUUACCUUUUUAUUUAAAUCAUACCUGAUAAUUAAGUGUUCAAAUCAUAGCUCAUUCUACAUAUGGAAGUAUGACUAUAUCUGAGGGAAAAAAGUAAACAAAAUAAUAGCCUCUUUUAAGUGAUAAAGAAAUCGAAGGAAAAUUCAGUGUAUAUAUUCAGUAACAUCCCAAAUGGAAACUGGGCAAUUUGUCUUUGAACUAGAGAUUUGGAAUAUUCUGGCCAAUUUGCAAUGUAGGAUCAAGAUCUUGAGUUAGAAAUUGCUGCUAGAGUAAAAUAAUAUCUGGAUACUCUCUCUUUAAACUGUAACUUACUUAUUGGUGUUUCCUAUUUUGGGGGGGUUUUUUUGCAAAAUCACAAGCACCCUAAUGGGUUUUUAAAAAACAUAUAGUAUACAUGUAUAUCUAUAUAUCAUCAACUUGGACUAAAAUGAUCUAGAAGAAAGCUGUUUUCUUAAUUUGUUAUCAUCUUGUAAAUAUACAUUUUUGUAUUGAGAAACAUAAAUGAGUUUAGAUUCCAAACCUCAUCUGUCAUUAAGCAUGUCAUUGUCAAUACAAGUUGGCUGUAUUUUGUAAAAAUGUGAGCACUCAGCAGUGGCAACUGACCUCAAUGCCAUCCUUCUGUUAGACAAAAUUUGUAGCCUACCUGAUACUUGGAGUAGUAGUGAAAAGAAUAACAACUAUUCUGGGAAUACCAAAUGAACAGCCAUCUUACAAUAGUCUUUGGAGAGAUGUACUAUUUCCACAAUGAACGUUGCAUGCUUCUGCAGUGUUUUGUUAAAUUUUCUUUUUCAUUUCUGCCUUCUAAUCCUCCAAGAAAAAGAAAACUUUCAAAAUAUUUGAUCAACAUCUGCAAGAAUAUUCAAAUGAAGAAAGACUUUUAAAUCAGUUCUCAGACUGUCUAUAAAAUCCAUGUCAUGGUU